This 2079-nucleotide long non-coding RNA is filed under the name Citrus sinensis (sweet orange). RNAcentral describes it as "long non-coding RNA (CSIN_LNC000953)". Lineage: Eukaryota; Viridiplantae; Streptophyta; Magnoliopsida; Sapindales; Rutaceae. The record is from RNAcentral.
AUCCUACAAAAUACAAAUAAUCCAUACCAUAUUUUAGGAUUAAAUAUACGGUCAUUCAAACACUAAAUAACAAGUUCUUAACAAUAAUUCAAAUUCAAAUUAUAAAGUAAGGUGAUUUCUUUAAUUCUCUUCAUUUUGUCUUUGUCACAUUGAAAACAAAAAUCCUACACCAAAAAAUAAAUAAAAUGAUAUUAACAUGCUGCAACACUGAUGAUAGUUGUUGAGUGUUAGAAAAUGUAUAUUUAUAAAGGAGAAAAUCGUCAUUUUACAUUUUAAGUUUUACUAACACCCUUACUUUUAUAUAUUUAACCUUCUUUUGAUUUAAUUCUGUGUGUUUUAUUUUAAUUAAGUAUUUUAUGUAUUGAGAUCAGACGGCAAAACAUCUGUUCACAUAGACGGAUCGAUGACGUGGCAUUGACCGAUGAUGUGGCAUUGACUGAUGAGGUGUCAUGAUCCUGUUGGUCUAAAAUUCUUAUGAACUGUUGAUGGUGACGUGGCAGCAUAUUAGUGGACCAAAACUUGCACGUACGGUACAUGCAUUACACAGGAUUAUUUUCAACCAAACCGCGUUACUAUUCAAAGCUGGGUCAAAUCAAACCGUGGACUGUUGACUGAUGACGUGGCGCAAUCCUGAGCGUCCAAACUGUUUUUAAUCUGAUGGCCAUGAUUUACUCAAUGUAUCUAUAAAAAGGGGGCCUCCCCCCCUAAUUUGAUACCUCUGAAUCCAUUUUUGGGAUGCAUUUUCUGUAAUUCAUUCUCCAUCUUGUAUUUUCUAUGUAUUUUAAGUGGCUAAUUUACUUUGCCCCUAGUUCAAUUAUGAGUGGCUAAUUUUCUUUAAAGCUUGGGAUGAAGGUGAAGUCUCAACAUGUGUCAUGAGUUUAUUUGGUAAAUUUACUUUCUCUUCCCCUCUAAUUUUUGUGAAUGUUUUGACUUCUCGUCGACAAAUAAUACUAAUCUUGUCUAGUAUCGCCUUGGUUUCACCGGCCCCCUAGUACAAGGUUAUUAUUAUUUGGCACGAUAAGCCCUUAGCACCAUAUUGAUUAGAGUGUGGUUCGUGAGGUGUGGAUUCCCCCUUCAUGAUUUAAUUGGUAUUAAUAAGGAAUAUUUAGCCCAUGGUACAUGUUGAUACGGAUCCAGAUACCCAAGUACGUCAAUUUAAUAGAUUUUCACUUUAAUUUAUUCUUGCCAUCUUAAUUCAAAUUUUAGGAUAAUCCAAAUCCUUUUUACCACAAAUCCAACCACCCAUUUAGAAAAUUAAUUCUAUACACAAUUAAAAUCCACCUUCUCGUGGGAUCGACACUCGUCACCAUUGAUCUAUACUACAAUAGAUCCGUGCACUUGCGAGUUCAAUGAAAUUUGCACAACAAUAGUUACCGUAAAAUUUUAAACGAUCAAAUAUAUAGAAAAUUUGUAGUAUUGUUAAGGAAAUAAUAAUAAUUAAUUCUCUUCUAAAGUAAGGAAACUUGACCAAUGAUGUGUACUUUUUGAAAGCUGAACAAAUCAAGCAUACGAUAAUAUCGGACAUGAUGACCACAUUUAGAAAGAUUUGAGAAGAAGAGCUAGGCCUUAGGAUAAGAUGAGUAAUAGAAACAAUAAUUAAUAUUUGUAAAUAAAUUAUAAAACAAUUCACUCUAGCUUUAAUCCAUUUUAUCAAUUAUGAGAUGGAAAUUUAAAGGCAACUAAUCAUAAGCUUGAAUAACUUUUAAGCUCAAAAACUAAAUCAUUACUAAAGGAUGCAUCUUGACGAUGACAGUGCAUUUGGAAAAAAAAAAAAGGUAAAAGAAAAAGAAUCAUAUCAAUUCAAAUGUGUAGAGAUGAAUAAUCUCAAGUGAUGGAGAAAUCUAAAGGCAAAGAAUAUAUGAUAAUGUGAGAUAUACCUCUAAAUAGCUCUAAAAUUAAAAAAAGAAAAAGAAAAAUAAUCAAAGCUUACUAUGCGAGUGUGAGUAAGGUGAGAUGGUGUCGUCUAAGAAAUUGUGGAGAGAACAAAAAGAAAUUGCUGAGGGCGAAUCGUGAACACUGAACACUGAAGACAGGAGAAGGUUGCCGCAGUUGAGAGAUGAAGGGAAAGAGAGAGCGAAA